GCUGUGUUCUUAUAGGUCGGGUGGCCUCUCGUGCCCUGCCCAUGUAGCGAUGGAGCUUUUGCAGGGGAUGUCCUGGAGAAUCAAGGAAUAUUCCAUUCGGCUGUGACCUUUAGGAAGGCAUCCAUCUGGACAUUUGCAAAGUGGAUUCUCAUCUUUCAGUCUGUAUCAUUUCAAUAUCAUCUGCUACAGAGAGGCAAUUAGAUAAGGAAACAGGAGUUUCCGAUCACCCCCACCCCCCGAUGGCCGUGACUUCCACGGAUGGUUCUGUGUGAUCCAGGUGUUCCGUGAAGUGUGGGUUCACCAGGAGAACAGCUUCGCCUGACUGUAAGCAACAGGACGGCUCCCAUCUGAUGACAUAACAACUUGGACAGAUUGCAAGAGAAUAGUGCAAAAGGCUGGUCUCAAAAUGCUCCAGGCUGAAUGCUUCCAUUUGUGUAAUAUUCUUCAAGUGACACAAUUACAGAGAGGAAGCUUUUAAAGAAUAGCAGAUCAGCUUCAACUCCCAUAAGUAAAAGGACUUAAGUUCUGAGAAGGUGGGGGAUCAGGGGCGGCCAGUUCCAGGCUCAGUGGAGGUAGCAGGUGUUUCUGCUCAGCCUCGGUGGAUCUUCUGCAUCGGCUUGGUCUUGUGACCCCAUACCCCCACUUUGUGGCACCUCCUGUCCUGGCUCUGACCCAUUGCCUAGCCCCCAUCUGGGCUCUGAUCCAUCCCAGGUCUCUCCCAGCAUGGACACGUGAAAGCGAGUGGUGCCCACUUGCAGCUCUGAGGUUCCCGGAUAGAGAGGGAGGCUCUUUCCCAGCGCUCCCUGUGCAAGUCCUAGUCUGGUUCUGAUUGGCCACAGCGGGUCACAUGUUUGUCCCAGAACCAAUCACUGGAAACGGGAUGGAGUCGCUUGAUUGGUCAGGCCUGCAUCACAUGACCCCCUUGUGGGGUCAGCACCCAACCACAGAAAGGGCGUGGUGGGGGUGGGGGGUCUCUGUGAAGAGAAGAGGUGCCUGCAGCAGAGCCUGCCCUGUCCCCUCCGUGGUUCCACAUCCGUGCCUCUGAGGACCUUGGACCCCCAAAGCGAGGCCCGAAGGUGAGGGACGGCCGGUGUCAUCGUUGGAGCUUCCUAAGAGUCCCAGAGGCUGAUGCACCUCCCAGACUCUCCUCGGCCCGGCUCCCUGGGCCCUGCUCCAGGGGCUUCAUUGCUCCCUGCCCCGGGUCACCCCUCGGCUCACCGUCUCUCAGGUGUGGAAUAUCCUGCUCCAAUCAAAGCCAUGUCACCUGCGUUGUCCAGUGAAACAUCAGUGGACAGGCGCUGCCCGGGCUCCAGGGAGCUCCUCACUGAGGCUCACUCCCUGUGCCUCUGCCAUCAGCACAGGGGGACAUGCCUGGCUGCCUGUGGGACCAGGGAGGACGCGCGGUGCGGGAGCAGAGCCAGCCACACUGCCGCUGCUGCACUGUUCAUCUGAGUGGCGCAAGGGCAAGGAGAGGACCGUGCAUCCUCAGUGACAGUGGUGCCUCACCAUGCUUUAGAGAAGCCUGUCCUUGCCCCCGAGCUGCUCUCCAUGGAGUCCUGUUUGCGCACCGGAGGUCCCUGUGAAGGAGCGUCCAUCAGGUCUGGACGUGCACCUGACCUCGCUGACUGAGAACGUGGUGACUAAGGAACGACGUGCGCAGCAGGCCGGAGGCUGCCUGAUUCUGACGCGUGUUCAUGGAGGCCCGUGUGCAGCGAUGAGCCCCAGCCAGCAUCCGGGUGAUCCCCAGCCAGCAUCCGGGUGAUCCCCAGCCAGCAUCCGGGUAAUCCCCAGCCAGCAUCCGGGUGAUCCCCAGCCAGCAUCCGGGAACUUGGCUUUUGGAACGUUUCCUGAGUGACUGGUUGACCAGGUCGUUUGUGCACUCAGGGAACUAAGCCGUUCCCUACCAGCUGCCUGGACUCUGCAGUGUGAUCAGCGCACGCCUGACUUCUGUCACCACAGUGGCUGCACAGGCAGAGGGUGCCUAUGUGACCAGCCCCCUGUAGAAGCCCCGCACUCGGAGACCUACACGGCCUCCCUGGGAAGCGACACUCUGGAUGUGUUGCUGACUUGGUUGCUGGAGCAAGACGCGUGUUUGGUGGACUCCCCUGGGUCUUUCUCCCCUGCUGAUCUUGCUACGUGGCCUUUCUCUGUAAUAAGCCAUGGAGUCCACUCUCUAAUCACGCAGUGUGUGGUGGCCCCAGGACCCCUGAGACGUGGAGCUGGCAGGGAAGACAGGCAGCUGCCCGAGGCGCUUGAGGCAGAGAAGGAUGGGGAAUAGCCUGGCUCCUCCCCGCCCCCCAUCACCCACCAGGGCCUCUCACUGUCUGAGCUCAGCCUGAGGCUAGCUGACCAGGGGUGUGGGAAGCCCAACUCUACAAAUUCGCAGCAGAUCAGCCCCCAACCCCCACAAAUUCCCAGCAGAUCAGGAAGGGCGGGGCAUGGAUGAAAGGGCAUCAGGGCCACAGGCCCAGGACAGGCACGUGGGUUGCUCUUGGAGGCAUUUGCAGGUACACUAAGAAGCUCCAGGAAGGACACACACACACACAUAUACACACACAUACACAUACAUAUGCACACACAUACAUACACAGACACACACACACACGUACACAGACACACAGACACACAUACACACACACAUUCCCCUGCCCUCCCAUCUCCAGACCUUGCGGUCCCCAUGAGCUUCCCGAUUCCUGGCACUGCCGGGCUGUCCUGAAGGCUCUUUUGGCCAGAAAUGGGCAGGGAUCUGAGAGCACCUGCUGUCGGGUGAGUCCUACUGUACUCAUGUCAGAGAUUAGGACGAGAAGACACAGGAGUGAGCUGGGCUGGAGUCUCAGCUGCAGAUGACAAGGAGAGCACAGUGGAAAGCCUGGCCCACCUCCCCUCCCCACUGGGCCCCUGGGUGGGAUACCACCAUUUCCAGAAUGGGCUGUGGGUUGCGCGGGCUCCUGAGGUUCGCUGAACCGGGGCUCUGAGGGGUCCCCAAAGUGCUUCCUCCCUGUCCUGUGCCCCCACCCCAUGGGGUGGAAGAGCCGCCCACAGGCCUGGGUUCCGCCAUGCACAAGGGAACUGGACCUUGGUGACUAUUCAGGAGGGAGUCUCCGGGCUGCCCUUCCCAUGACCACAUGUCAAUCCCCUUUGGCCCCAAGGGAAUUUCUCAUAACCCUCCCUUGGAGGAGCCCCCUCGGUGCCAGCCCACCCUCAUCACUCUCUCCUGAACCCCCAUGAACAGACUCCGUGGCGCCUCCACCUGCCUUUGUCCCGCCAACCCUCCCUGUCCAGAGCAGCCAUGGGGCCUCUUACAGUUUUAAGUCUGUCUGCAUCACGCGUUUCCUCAGAGUCUCCUCAGGCUGGGUGAGUCCUCGUCCUAAUAGGCCCUGACUGCCUGGCGCUGCCUACCUCUCCUGCCUCAGCAGGAGCUGCCCACACCUGUCCUCAGCCAACCAAGCUCCUAACCGUCGGGGAUCCUGGGACUCGGGCCUGCCUUUGCUGGACACUUCCGUCAGAUUUCUACCUGGCCACGUUCCACUCUUUCUUAAGGAUUCUGCUUAAAAGUCACGUCCUCUAAGGCUCCUCGCUGGCCUUCCCCACCACAUUGAUGUCCAGAUGAAGAAACAAAAGUUCUGAGAGGUCUUCAGGAACUUGUAUAUAAUUACAGAGGUAAUAAGGAUUGGUUGGAAAUGAAACCAAGGGCUACCUCCUGUCCCCAAAGCUCAUGCUCUUAACCCCUUCACCAUGAGUUUCUGGUUCUAUUCCUAGACUCUAGGCAUCAUAUACUCCUGUUAAUACUUUCUGUCUUCAAGCAAGUCCAUUUACAUUUAUAUUAUAAAAGGUUAAAUUGUUCAUGAAUAUAGCUUCUAGAUUCAGACCACCUGGAUUCAAAUUUAGACUCCACAUAUACUGGCUGUGAGAUAUUGCCCAGUGUGCAUAAUCUUGCCAAGGCCUCAAUUUCUUCACUUAUAGUAUAGGGAAGACAGUAUGGCCUACCUAGUGACAAUGGAUGGUUGUGAGGAUUAAACGAGAUAAAUCAUGUAAAGCAUUUGCCUGACUCUUAUUAAGUGUUCAAUAAUACUCUCAUAGAGUGUAAACUCCUUUGAAAUUAGGCAUAAGACUUUAGGUAUAUAAAGAGCCUGAACAGAGAUGUACUUGAAUUCACGUCUUUAUAAAACACAAAAAUUAUUGCAACAAUCUUCAAAUAGUCUUCAAGCCUUCUCCACACAUUGUUGUAAUCUAUGUAAAGGAAAAUAAAAAAAUCUCAGCCAGGAGCGGUGGCUGAAGCCUGUAAUCCCAGCACUUUG
This 4298-nucleotide long non-coding RNA is filed under the name Homo sapiens (human). RNAcentral's name for it is "HSALNT0371839". Lineage: Eukaryota; Metazoa; Chordata; Mammalia; Primates; Hominidae. The record is from RNAcentral.